AGAGUUUGAUCAUGGCUCAGAUUGAACGCUGGCGGCGGGCCUAACACAUGCAAGUCGAGCGGUAACAGAAAGUAGCUUGCUACUUUGCUGACGAGCGGCGGACGGGUGAGUAAUGCUUGGGAACAUGCCUUGAGGUGGGGGACAACAGUUGGAAACGACUGCUAAUACCGCAUAAUGUCUACGGACCAAAGGGGGCUUCGGCUCUCGCCUUUAGAUUGGCCCAAGUGGGAUUAGCUAGUUGGUGAGGUAAUGGCUCACCAAGGCAACGAUCCCUAGCUGGUUUGAGAGGAUGAUCAGCCACACUGGAACUGAGACACGGUCCAGACUCCUACGGGAGGCAGCAGUGGGGAAUAUUGCACAAUGGGCGAAAGCCUGAUGCAGCCAUGCCGCGUGUGUGAAGAAGGCCUUCGGGUUGUAAAGCACUUUCAGUCAGGAGGAAAGGGUGUGAGUUAAUACCUCACAUCUGUGACGUUACUGACAGAAGAAGCACCGGCUAACUCCGUGCCAGCAGCCGCGGUAAUACGGAGGGUGCGAGCGUUAAUCGGAAUUACUGGGCGUAAAGCGUACGCAGGCGGUUUGUUAAGCGAGAUGUGAAAGCCCCGGGCUCAACCUGGGAACUGCAUUUCGAACUGGCAAACUAGAGUGUGAUAGAGGGUGGUAGAAUUUCANGUGUAGCGGUGAAAUGCGUAGAGAUCUGAAGGAAUACCGAUGGCGAAGGCAGCCACCUGGGUCAACACUGACGCUCAUGUACGAAAGCGUGGGGAGCAAACGGGAUUAGAUACCCCGGUAGUCCACGCCGUAAACGAUGUCUACUAGAAGCUCGGAACCUCGGUUCUGUUUUUCAAGCUAACGCAUUAAGUAGACCGCCUGGGGAGUACGGCCGCAAGGUUAAAACUCAAAUGAAUUGACGGGGGCCCGCACAAGCGGUGGAGCAUGUGGUUUAAUUCGAUGCAACCCGAAAAACUUUACCUACACUUGACAUC
Molecule: ribosomal RNA, 983 nt
Filed under: Pseudoalteromonas sp. enrichment culture clone 1492a
Lineage: Bacteria; Pseudomonadati; Pseudomonadota; Gammaproteobacteria; Alteromonadales; Pseudoalteromonadaceae
Description: bacterial SSU rRNA
Rfam family: Bacterial small subunit ribosomal RNA
Source: RNAcentral